RNAcentral lists this ribosomal RNA (428 nucleotides) under uncultured Myxococcales bacterium. RNAcentral's name for it is "bacterial SSU rRNA". It matches the Rfam family "Bacterial small subunit ribosomal RNA", at positions 355 to 776 of the family's 1533-position model. The record is from RNAcentral. Lineage: Bacteria; Pseudomonadati; Myxococcota; Myxococcia; Myxococcales.
UGGGGAAUUUUGCGCAAUGGGCGAAAGCCUGACGCAGCGACGCCGCGUGGGUGAUGAAGGCCUUCGGGUUGUAAAGCCCUGUGGGGAGGGAAGAAUAAGCGUUGGAUAACACCCAGCGCGAUGACGGUACCUCCUUAGCAAGCACCGGCUAACUCUGUGCCAGCAGCCGCGGUAAGACAGAGGGUGCGAACGUUGUUCGGAAUUACUGGGCGUAAAGCGCGUGUAGGCGGCUAUGCAAGUCGGGUGUGAAAGCCCUGGGCUCAACCGAGGAAGUGCACUCGAAACUGCAUAGCUCGAGUUCCGGAGAGGAUGGUGGAAUUCUCGGUGUAGAGGUGAAAUUCGUAGAUAUCGAGAGGAACACCGGUGGCGAAGGCGGCCAUCUGGACGGAAACUGACGCUGAGACGCGAAAGCGUGGGUAGCAAACAGG